AUUCCUCUCUCUCUCUCUCACUUGCUCUCCAGCUAGCUUCCCUCUUCGUUCUCUUUUCCCUUUUCUUUACAGGAUGUAAACCAAGCCGAAAAUCUCGCAAAUUUUGAGCUGUUUUCUUCUUUUCCUUUCGCUUCUUGCUUUCCUCCUCCUCAUCGAUCGAUCGAUCUCUUGGUGAUGGUGAUUGUGGUGGGUUAAUUUGGGAGGAGGAGAGUGGCGCCAUGGCUGCUGCAGAGGGAAGCAGAUCUGCACCUACCGCCAUAGCUAUCUCGCCUUUCAAGAUCUGGAAAACCUCCAUCUCCGUUAUAGCUGAAUGGGGCGUCAUUUGCAAAACGUCUCCAUCUCAACUGAAACAACAGUCGCGCGUUUGGGUCAAGGUGACAGGUGUUCUAUAUCGUCAGUAGCGAUUGUAUAGUGGCUGGAAGACAAAGAAAGCUCUCUGCGCAUUGCUUGUUGUAUAUGUUAGGAUUACGGAAAGGUGCGACUGUAAGAGUGCUAUGAUCCUGUGUGGUGCCUGCAACUCAUGUUGUGUGUCAUUCAGCAUUCCUACUUCUGCAUCAAUUGUUUUCAAGUUCAAUUUUAGGAUGGUAGACCAUUAGUGGCCGCCAAAAGAUAUUAGCUACCUAUCUGUAUAAUUUAAUCUGAGAUGUAAAAUGGAAAAAAAAUAAUUAACCACAUAGAAAACGCGCGCCAGCAAAGCUAAGUUUAUUAGUAGGAACUUGUUUCCAUGCCUAGGAAAAAAUGUGCACUGAACAUUAAGCAUCAUAUACAAAGAAAAGGGACAUGUUACGUGCCUAGCUUAAACUUAGAACGACUGCUCAUUUUCUCAAAAAUUGUUGUAUUAUAGACUUCUGGUAGCUAGUGCCCUAAAUUAAACAGAACUAGUGAAACAUGCUUGUUAAUCACACAUAUUAGUUUGAAGCCAAUUACUAAUGUAUGUCGUGUGGAGGAAGCACCAUUGGUGUGGUGAUGGCGUCAUGAAAUGCAUGACUGAAUGUUUUAAUUACUUCAUUUGUCCCAAAAAGAAAGAUACAUAUAUCUUGUUUAUUACUGUUGUACGUAUCUGUUAUUGAAUGGAAUUCUGAAUAACAUGAUCCACUUUGUUGUACAUGUCUUACUACAUCAUCUCUUGAUGUGUCGAUGGUGAAUCUGGCAAGUAAAAUAACCUGGUAUUUAUGACUUUAUGUUUGGUAAGCAUCAUCCAUUGUUUCUUCUGUCAUGUCUGAAUAUGUAGCUUCAUAUUUUGUGCUCACUUAUAUACCCUGGUGAUGUCUAUCUGAUGUAGGGUUGUUUGCUUAUGUUUAUGCUUUUCGUUCUUUUAUUUUCGAGGAUUAUACUUUUAGUUCUUGCCUCGGUGCCUCAUUCCCUGCUUGAACUCUCAUGCAGUUUCUCUUGAAGAAUUUUGACACGUUGGUAUACGUACCAUAAAUGCCAACAAAUUAAGAAUUCUUCUCUGGGCUGCCCAGAAAUCAUUGCCAGUUUUAUUACGACAAUUCAUUCUCCAGUCUGUACUCUGUUAAUUUUACACUGUGGAAUCAUCACCAUGUAAAUUUUGGACAUGGCUGUAUUUAUCUUUCACCUUGUGAAUCACUUAAUACAACCUGAUGAUUUGUGAUCU
This 1615-nucleotide small RNA is filed under the name Oryza sativa Japonica Group (Japanese rice). Its description in RNAcentral is "Os09g0419100". The record is from RNAcentral. Lineage: Eukaryota; Viridiplantae; Streptophyta; Magnoliopsida; Poales; Poaceae.